AUUGAACGCUGGCGGCAGGCCUAACACAUGCAAGUCGAACGAGUGGCGGACGGGUUAGUAAUGUCUGGGCAACUUCCUGAGGGAGGGCGAUAAGUACCGGACACUAUAGCUAAUACCGCAUUCAAGCAGAUGUGCCCAGGUGGGAUUAGCUUGUUGGUGGGGUAACGGCUGACCAAGGCGACGAUCCGUACCUGGUCUGAGAGGAUGACCAGCCAAACUGGAACUGAGACACGGUCCAGACUCCUACGGGAGGCAGCAGUGGGGAAUAUUGGACAAUGGGCGAAAGCCUGAUGCAGCCAUGCCGCGUGUAUGAAGAAGGCCUUCGGGUUGUAAAGUACUUUAAGCUGGGAGGCGUUACCCACAGAAGAAGCACCGGCUAACUCCGUGCCAGCAGCCGCGGUAAUAC
This 406-nucleotide ribosomal RNA is filed under the name uncultured bacterium. RNAcentral's name for it is "partial 16S ribosomal RNA". It matches the Rfam family "Bacterial small subunit ribosomal RNA", at positions 30 to 526 of the family's 1533-position model. The record is from RNAcentral.